AUUGAACGCUGGCGGCAUGCCUUACACAUGCAAGUCGAACAGUAACAGGUCUUCGGAUGCUGACGAGUGGCGAACGGGUGAGUAAUACAUCGGAACGUGCCUAGUAGUGGGGGAUAACUACUCGAAAGAGUGGCUAAUACCGCAUGAGAUCUACGGAUGAAAGCAGGGGAUCGCAAGACCUUGUGCUACUAGAGCGGCCGAUGGCAGAUUAGGUAGUUGGUGGGAUAAAAGCUUACCAAGCCGACGAUCUGUAGCUGGUCUGAGAGGACGAUCAGCAACACUGGGACUGAGACACGGCCCAGACUCCUACGGGAGGCAGCAGUGGGGAAUUUUGGACAAUGGGCGAAAGCCUGAUCCAGCAAUGCCGCGUGCAGGAUGAAGGCCUUCGGGUUGUAAACUGCUUUUGUACGGAACGAAAAGCCCCGGGUUAAUACCCUGGGGUCAUGACGGUACCGUAAGAAUAAGCACCGGCUAACUACGUGCCAGCAGCCGCAGUAA
Molecule: ribosomal RNA, 498 nt
Filed under: uncultured bacterium
Lineage: Bacteria
Description: partial 16S ribosomal RNA
Rfam family: Bacterial small subunit ribosomal RNA
Source: RNAcentral